GUAGUUGUGGUUAAAGUGAUAGACUAGAAAUGCCUUGAAGUUUCCCUAUGUAGGUUCAAAUCCUAUCAACUAUG
Molecule: transfer RNA, 74 nt
Filed under: Alligator mississippiensis (American alligator)
Lineage: Eukaryota; Metazoa; Chordata; Crocodylia; Alligatoridae
Also listed under: 1 other name
Rfam family: tRNA
About the family: Transfer RNA (tRNA) molecules are approximately 80 nucleotides in length. Their secondary structure includes four short double-helical elements and three loops (D, anti-codon, and T loops). Further hydrogen bonds mediate the characteristic L-shaped molecular structure. tRNAs have two regions of fundamental functional importance: the anti-codon, which is responsible for specific mRNA codon recognition, and the 3' end, to which the tRNAs corresponding amino acid is attached (by aminoacyl-tRNA synthetases). tRNAs cope with the degeneracy of the genetic code in two manners: having more than one tRNA (with a specific anti-codon) for a particular amino acid; and 'wobble' base-pairing, i.e. permitting non-standard base-pairing at the 3rd anti-codon position.
Source: Rfam by way of RNAcentral